Non-coding RNA from Onthophagus taurus, 582 nucleotides. NCBI's taxonomy places the organism in Eukaryota, Metazoa, Arthropoda, Insecta, Coleoptera, Scarabaeidae. The record is from RefSeq and is a predicted model, not a curated record.
CAGAAGACAAACUUAGCUAUUAAAAGACUGCAUACUGCUUCAAAAGACUAAAUAUUGCUUCCAGAAGACUAAAUAUUCCUUUCAGAAGGCAAACUUGGCUGCCAAAAGACUAGAUACUGCUUCUAAAGACUAAAACAUUGCUUCCAGUAGAUUAAAACUAAUACCAAAAGAUUAACUACUGCUUUUAGAAGACUAAAUAUUCAAUAAGCGAGCAAUUGCUCUUAAAACUGUUAAUAUCCGUUCUAAACCAUCCAAAUCGGGAGGAUCAAUGUCAGUUAUAUCUACGCUUCAAAUACGAAGUUUCAUUCAGAUUAGUGAAGAAUUAAAGAAGAUAUGAAUAAAAUAAGUUUUGGAAUUUUGAUUUUUUUGACAUCUGUCAUUAUUGACGUUAACGAAUUUAAAAAUAGAAAUCUGUAAUUUAAACUCCGGUGUUCUUACAUUUUUCAUCUUCAUUACAGUUCUUGUUUCAUCUCGAAGGAUGGCAGUUCUACCUUUGGUUCAGCAGUUUGUAUCACCCCUCUCUCCGUUUCCGAAUCAUCAUUGUUAUCCACAUUCAGUAAUUCCUCGAAUUUGGACGCUUCG